GGGUUGGAGUGUUCCAUUUGAUAGAUUAUUUGACCAAAAAACACCUGUGUUAAAAAUCUUUUGCCCCGAAAAAAGAAGGGGAUCUUGGUUUUUUGAGGAUGAAGCAUGAACAAAGAGAAAAGAGAUGAACAGAACUUUUGUUUUGGAACCGUACAGUCUUAAAAGUAAUACCUUAUGAGUUUGACAUGGCCCACAAGCACAGCUCUGGGAAGGCUGUGAAGUUAAGAAGAGUGCCAUGACUGCAGGUUCCCGGGCGGCUGCUACUCGUGAAAGUGAAAUCAAAAGAAAACUGUUUCCUUCCCACUUUUGGAAAAGAGAUCCCUAUAGCCAAACAAGAAGAAGCUCCUCUCUCUGAAGUGAACAGAAUAAAAUUAUUUUAGUGGAGAACUGACUGAAGUGUCUUUGUAUGUUGUUGUUUCUAGUAAUUUACU
Sturnus vulgaris (Common starling) is the source of this 431-nucleotide non-coding RNA. The record is from RefSeq and is a predicted model, not a curated record. Lineage: Eukaryota; Metazoa; Chordata; Aves; Passeriformes; Sturnidae.